GACGAACGCUGGCGGCGUGGAUUAGGCAUGCAAGUCGAACGGUAUCAUCCUUUCGGGGGUGAGAGAGUGGCGAACUGGUGAGUAACACGUAGGUUAUCUACCCUCAAGACGGGGACAACCCAGGGAAACUUGGGCUAAUACCGGAUGUGAGCAACUUUUAGUUGUUUGAAAGGUGGCGUAAGCUGUCGCUUGGGGAUGAGCCUGCGUCCUAUUAGUUAGUUGGUGAGGUAACGGCUCACCUAGGCAAUGAUAGGUAGGCGGCCUUAACGGGUGGUCGCCCACACUGGGAUUGAGAUACGGCCCAGACUCCUACGGGAGGCAGCAGUCGAGAAUAGUCUACAAUGGUCGGAAGACUGAUAGUGCGACGCCGCGUGAACGAUGAAUCCCUUCGGGGUUAAAGUUCUUUUAAUGUGAGCAGUGCUUCUUAUAUUAACAGUAUGGGGAAGAGAUAUUAGCAUAUGAAUAAGCAACGGCUAACUCCGUGCCAGCAGCCGGGU
Molecule: ribosomal RNA, 497 nt
Filed under: uncultured bacterium
Lineage: Bacteria
Description: bacterial SSU rRNA
Rfam family: Bacterial small subunit ribosomal RNA
Source: RNAcentral